ACGCACACACACACACACACACACACACACAGACACUCGUAUGCAGGCCACAUCUACUGUUGUAUAGGUGUUGUUAAAGCUGGAGGUGACAUUUUAGGUAUUUGUUUAGUUGUGUUGGCUGUUUUUGCUGUGAUGACAGCAUUAUAGACUUUGAGGUUGAAUAUAGAAUAGACUAAAUAAGGCUGAUUGUAUAGAUUGUAUUUUUAGUCUCUCUUCCUUAAAUACUUCCUUUCAUUGUUGUUUUGGCUUAAUAACAUAUUCAGUUUGAGGCAAUUUGAAUGAAAUGAUGAGUAAAAUUAAGUCCACAUUUUAUUCUUUACCUCUGUCUUUCCCCCCCCUUCUCUCGGUCUAUAUCUGUCUCUCUGUGAGAUGAGCAUGUUUUUCCUCAACCCACCUGUUCUGUGCUGGGCUCGCGGCCAAAGCCCGGCCCUGCCAUCUGCCAGACAGCACAGUGCCACAGCGGCUCACCACACGCUCUUUGGGAGAGGCAGAGAUGCUAUCCAUUUUGUGAUGCGUAUGGGCUCUCUCUCUCUCUCUCUCUCUCUCUCUCUCUCUCUCUCUCUCUCUCUCUCUCUCUCUCUCUCUCUCUCUCUCUCUCUCUCUCUCUCUCUCUCUCAAUUGUCUUGAAUAAUUGAUUAAGAGAAUUCUCAAGGAUUAUGAGCAUGCCGUCAGCCAGGAGUUUCCCAUCUGUAGAUGCGAUUGAACCAGACAGUCCCAGAGAAGCACUGCCUUUCCUGUCCCCUUCUGGGUAGGUCGGUGAGGCCUGAGGCUGCUGCUUGAUGUGACAAUAAAAUUACAUCAGUUGACUUGUCAUUCAGGAUGGAUUCUGUGCUCCCAUCUGCACCAACUGAAUGUUGCGUCGUGUGAGGGAGAACAAGUUGCUUAAGUGGAGCAGUACGUGUGGACAAACACCAGGGGGCAGUAGCAGUAUGCAGCAGUACUUUUGCCUGGGAUGCCCUUCAUGGACACUUAAGUGUUGUGUUAGCAAUGAUAGACACAUGUUGGUGUGCAGCACGUCUGAGCGCCUCCAUCCAGCAGAGCGUCAUCACAGAGCAUGACCCGUCUUCCAUCAACGCAACACAAAUGUGUGUGCAGCUGUGGUUCGUCACCUCCAGCUCAUGGAGACACAUUGAUGGAAUUGUUUGCAGUGAGGGAGUGUUUUGCACAAGGGCACGCACAUAGGGGUUAUUUCACAACACAUACGUUGACCCAUUCACCUCCCCCAUCUGAGUUUUGUCAGCAUUCUCCUGAUAAAACUCCUGUCAAAUACAUUUUGAUUAGGGCUGCAACCAACUAUUAUUUUCAUUGUCGAAUAAUGUAAUUAUUUUCUUGAUUAAGUGAUUAGUUGUUUGGUCUAUAAAAUGUCAGAAAAUGGUGAAAAAUGGUGUCCCAAAGCCCAAGAUGACGUCCUCAAAUGUCUUGUUUUGUCCACAACUCAAAGAUAUUCAGUUUACUGCCAUGAAGAAGUGAAGAAACGUGAAAGCAUUCACAUUUUAAGAACCUGGAAUCAGAGAAAAAAAUGUUCACCGUAAAAAAUGACUCAAACCGAUGAAUGGAUUAUCAAAAUAGUUAGCAAUUAAUUUAAUAGUUGACAACCAAUCGAUUGAUCAAUUAUUUUGUGCAGCUCUACUUACGGUGUGUCGGUUUAACAAAACCACACACCUGCUCUCUUAUGGCAGCUGUCACAGUGGGUGGUGGUUGGUGUUGCACUUGCCAGUGAAUGUGAUUCUAAACUGGGUUACACAGGCGGCAACUCAGCUUUGCACCAUGCAGAUUGGAUUCAACUGGAUUGACUGUUCCAGGACUUCUUUACAUCUGCAUUUGUUUACAGAGGAUUUUAUAAAGAGGCAGGACUGUUGUGAGGCUAAUAAAGAGGGGGAAUUCAUUGUUUAAAAUCCAUUCUGAAAUGGA
This is a long non-coding RNA of Sander lucioperca (pikeperch), 1911 nucleotides long. RefSeq lists it as uncharacterized. The transcript has 2 exons. Lineage: Eukaryota; Metazoa; Chordata; Actinopteri; Perciformes; Percidae. The record is from RefSeq and is a predicted model, not a curated record.